AUCAACCUCUACAAGACUGGGACUGUCAUGGGGCCAGGUAACAGACUGGGACUGUCAUGGUGCCAGGUAACAUUAGGCUGUUUGAAACAGACUGGGACUGUCAUGGUGCCAGGUAACAUCAGGCUGUUUGAAACAGACUGGGACUGUCAUGGUGCCAGGUAACAGACUGGGACUGUCAUGGUGCCAGGUAACAGACUGGGACUGUCAUGGUGCCAGGUAACAGACUGGGACUGUCAUGGUGCCAGGUAACAGACUGGGACUGUCAUGGUGCCAGGUAACAUUAGGCUGUUUGAAACAGACUGGGACUGUCAUGGUGCCAGGUAACAGACUGGGACUGUCAUGGUGCCAGGUAACAUUAGGCUGUUUGAAACAGACUGGGACUGUCAUGGUGCCAGGUAAGAGUAGCGACCCUUCAGUGCAGAGCAGGCUCAGGCCCUCCUCACCACCAUGGCUGCCAUGAGGGAUGAGAUCACCAGAGUGGAGUGGGAGGUGGUCCUGCUGAGGGAGAGCAAACAGCAUCCAGACAUCUACACCA
RNAcentral lists this long non-coding RNA (535 nucleotides) under Salmo salar (Atlantic salmon). Its description in RNAcentral is "lncRNA (ENSSSAG00000101295.1)". The record is from RNAcentral. Lineage: Eukaryota; Metazoa; Chordata; Actinopteri; Salmoniformes; Salmonidae.